This 253-nucleotide ribosomal RNA is filed under the name uncultured bacterium. RNAcentral's name for it is "partial 16S ribosomal RNA". It matches the Rfam family "Bacterial small subunit ribosomal RNA", at positions 524 to 776 of the family's 1533-position model. The record is from RNAcentral.
UACGGAGGGUCCGAGCGUUAAUCGGAAUUACUGGGCGUAAAGCGUACGUAGGCGGAUUGUUAAGUCAGAUGUGAAAUCCCGGGGCUCAACCUCGGAACUGCAUUUGAAACUGGCAAUCUAGAGUAUUGUAGAGGGUGGUGGAAUUUCCAGUGUAGCGGUGAAAUGCGUAGAGAUUGGAAGGAACAUCAGUGGCGAAGGCGGCCACCUGGACAAAUACUGACGCUGAGGUACGAAAGCGUGGGGAGCGAACAGG